This 478-nucleotide ribosomal RNA is filed under the name uncultured bacterium. RNAcentral's name for it is "partial 16S ribosomal RNA". It matches the Rfam family "Bacterial small subunit ribosomal RNA", at positions 28 to 523 of the family's 1533-position model. The record is from RNAcentral.
GACGAACGCUGGCGGCGUGCUUAACACAUGCAAGUCGAACGGUAAGGCCCUUCGGGGUACACGAGUGGCGAACGGGUGAGUAACACGUGGGUGAUCUGCCCUGCACUUCGGGAUAAGCCUGGGAAACUGGGUCUAAUACCGGAUAGGACUCCGGACUGCAUGGUCUGGGGUGGAAAGCUUUUGCGGUGUGGGAUGGGCCCGCGGCCUAUCAGCUUGUUGGUGGGGUGAUGGCCUACCAAGGCGACGACGGGUAGCCGGCCUGAGAGGGUGACCGGCCACACUGGGACUGAGAUACGGCCCAGACUACUACGGGAGGCAGCAGUGGGGAAUAUUGCACAAUGGGCGCAAGCCUGAUGCGACGACGCCGCGUGAGGGAUGCCGGCCUUCGGGUUGUAAACCUCUUUCAGCAUCGACGAAGCGAAAGUGACGGUAGGUGCAGAAGAAGGACCGGCCAACUACGUGCCAGCCGCCGCGGUAA